Agrilus planipennis (emerald ash borer) is the source of this 1210-nucleotide long non-coding RNA. RefSeq lists it as uncharacterized. The transcript is spliced from 3 exons. The record is from RefSeq and is a predicted model, not a curated record. Lineage: Eukaryota; Metazoa; Arthropoda; Insecta; Coleoptera; Buprestidae.
UACAUUUAGGAAGUUACUGAUAAUUGAUGGAUUCACAUACCUGCAGGUAUUGAAGUCAAUAUUUUCUACCGUUUAUAAUAAAUUCAAUUUAAAUUAAGAACAACAAUAAACGACAUUUUAUGGCUGUGAAUUUCUAAAAUCAUACCGCAUGUAGUCCUUUAAAAAACUCGUCUCCUUAGAAAAAUAGAUUAAAAAUAAGGUUUUAUAAGUUAUUAUGCACAAAACUAUUAUCUAUUGUUUUAAACCUAAACAUACUCCUUUUUUGAAUAACUUUUUAAGAAAAUGAAUAAAACAAAAUAUUGAUAGAUUAGUACGAUUUUUGCGACUAUGUUAUGCGAAAUAUGGAUGAACUUAGCAUUUACUGCGUAGCAAUUUAGCAAUUUUAAGUUAUUUUUAUUAUUAUUUAUUAUUUCAUAUUAUCAAAACUUCACCUUUCGCAUAUUAAUUAGGUAAGUACACAUUUACCGUGAGUUAUUUAAAAUAGUUGUUAUACUAGCAUCAACCAAUUCUUAUAUUUCAGGUAACGUCGAUUAAUAGCUUAUCCGAUAAAACUCCAACGCUAACCUCUAGCAGAACAGUAUUUACAAUUGUAAUUGGUAUACAUAUGAAUGCGGCUGUAUUUGCGUUGGGACUUUAUUUGGAAAAUAUUGUGGUGGUUAUGGUCAGUUCGACAGUUAUGGUAUUAAUCAGCUUCAUAUUGAUUUUCAUGCCACAAAAUAAUCUUGAAGAUAGUAAAUAUUAUGUGGUAAAAAGAAGAUUUUUACCUUAUACGGCAGUGAUAUCUGUUAUCUUAAAUAUAAUUUUGGGUUCAAUAUUACUUUUUGAAGUUUGGCAUGGAUUCAUACUAUGGGUAAUUUCAGGUCUGGUGUUAUUUUGUCGAUGUAAUUGCUGUAGUUGCGAAGGUCUCUUUCCAGAAAACUCCGAACGACAGAAAAUUAACAGUUCCAAAAUGAACAUUGAAGAUAUUGAAUACGACGACUUUGUUUUUGUAUCUAGUUGACACAGCACUGGUGAUUCAGAUGAAAAUAGUGAAGAAUUAUUUUAUUAUUCAAAUUACUAAAGCGCUAUUUUUUAAUGUGAAUUAAUAUACUUAUCUAAUAUUUCUCUAUUUAAAAUUAGAAAUGUAUACCUGUAAGUGUUUGGAAAUAUUAAAGUUGCCUUAAUUUAUAAGGGGCAGCGUUUAUAGUUUUAAUAUCUAUUUGGUAAAAGA